UCCAGACUCCUACGGGAGGCAGCAGUGAGGAAUAUUGGUCAAUGGCCGCAGGGCUGAACCAGCCAAGUCGCGUGAGGGAUGACGGUCCUAUGGAUUGUAAACCUCUUUUGUCAGGGAGCAAAGGGCGCCACGUGUGGCGCUUUGCGAGUACCUGAAGAAAAAGCAUCGGCUAACUACGUGCCAGCAGCCGCGGUAAUACGUAGGGGGCGAGCGUUAUCCGGAUUUACUGGGUGUAAAGGGAGCGUAGACGGUUCUGCAAGUCUGAAGUGAAAGCCCGUGGCUUAACCGCGGAACGGCUUUGGAAACUGUGGAACUGGAGUGCUGGAGAGGCAAGCGGAAUUCCUAGUGUAGCGGUGAAAUGCGUAGAUAUUAGGAGGAACACCAGUGGCGAAGGCGGCUUGCUGGACAGUAACUGACGUUGAGGCUCGAAAGCGUGGGGAGCAAACAGGAUUAGAUACCCGCGUAUC
RNAcentral lists this ribosomal RNA (467 nucleotides) under uncultured bacterium. RNAcentral describes it as "bacterial SSU rRNA". It matches the Rfam family "Bacterial small subunit ribosomal RNA", at positions 330 to 794 of the family's 1533-position model. The record is from RNAcentral.